RNAcentral lists this long non-coding RNA (1329 nucleotides) under Salmo salar (Atlantic salmon). Its description in RNAcentral is "lncRNA (ENSSSAG00000097238.1, ENSSSAG00000106376.1)". The record is from RNAcentral. Lineage: Eukaryota; Metazoa; Chordata; Actinopteri; Salmoniformes; Salmonidae.
UCUGAGACUCAGCAGAUGAAAGGCAUUGUGGGACAGUCUUUAUCGUUUCCAGAGAGAGUGUUUAAAACUGGAUAUUUAAGGUAUGGAGAAGACACUACUGCAAGUGUGAUCAAUGGACAAAGCCAUGUAGAUUUAGAAGAGAGAUUUAAAAAUCGCGUUCACUGGGACAAACCUCACUCUUUACUAUGUUGUUUCCAAACCUCAGGUGACAGAGUGUGACAGCAGCUCCUGUAGUGUGGUGUGUUCUGUGGACAACAAAAAAGAGGUGACCUUGACCUUGUACAGGGGAGAGGAAAUACUAAACCAGACCAGCAGUCCUGACCUCACCACUGAUCUAUCUCUCCGUUUGGAGGUAGAGGGAAAGAACUACAACUCCACCUACAGCUGUGUGGCUGCUAACCCUGUCAGCAAGGAGACAGUUCUUGUCCCAAAAUGUUGCAGUGAAGAUGGUCAUCCCAAGGAGACAGACAGUGAUGGGAUGACUCGGGGUAUGCUUAUUAUUGCUGUAAUCUGCGUUUUGGUUGCCUCAGGGCUGGUUGGACUUGCAAUCAAUCUAAAGCAGAGGGGAAAUGAACACUCACAAGGCAGGAGGAGCGAAGAAGUAUACCAGAACUGGAGUCGCAUAGAGACAACCCUGAAAUGGCAUCAGUUUAUGAUACACUGCAGUUACAUCGCAUGGCUGACAGCAGGGAUGUUGACACAGCAUGAAGGAACAGAACUGGAAGUCACUGAGAAGCCAACAUGAUAACUCAUAAAGAGGACAUUUAACCAAAAUGAAAGUAAAAUAAUAAUCACCCAGAAAACCUUUUAGAGGCACAGUUGUUAUGGGAGAAAAAUCCCCUGGAACUGUUGCGCUGAUGUUAUAACUUCAGGCUUUCUUUGUAGGUCAUUCUCACAGACCUGUCAAAUAGAGGCCUCGCUGACAUCCACUGAUAAGGACCAAUUCAAUAACUAUUUAUUGAGUUAGUAGCAGGGUCAGGAUAAUCCUUCUUUUCAGCUGCCUUUUGUCCCAAAUCCCAAUGUAUAAGUUAAAACAAAUGGAACAUAUAUUUUAAUACUGGGCACAACUUUGGUUUUGGAAGUGGGAGGACAUAACUUUUUAUCCUGUCGGAUAAACACUCCAAACAACCUACCCGCCCACUCGGAGGCGUCCGUAUGGUCCUAAAGCACACCAUUGCCUCGUUUUGUAUCACAUUCCAAUGAUAAAACUGGGGGGACAAAAAUGAUAUUUCAGAAUGUGGGGGGGACAUGUGGCACCCUUGGUGUUUGCUAUGCUACUGCUGGCCAAAGCUUCUUUUCAGUUAUGACUGUUUUGUUGUUUAAAUGUAG